AUAGGCGAAAGCUUGACAGGGUUACUCUGAGUGACUUUCGUUAAGAAAGUCUUUUGACACCUCUAAAAAUGGUGUAGAAUAAGGGGUGGGCAAGUCUGGUGUCAGCCGCCGCGGUAAUACCAGCACCCCGAGUGGUCGGGACGAUUAUUGGGCCUAAAGCAUCCGUAGCCGGCCUUACAAGUCCUCCGUUAAAUCCAGCUGCUUAACAGAUGGGCUGCGGAGGAUACUAUAAGACUAGGAGGCAGGAGAGGCAAGCGGUACUCAGUGGGUAGGGGUAAAAUCCGUUGAUCCAUUGAAGACCACCAGUGGCGAAGGCGGCUUGCCAGAAUGCGCUCGACGGUGAGGGAUGAAAGCUGGGGGAGCAAACCGGAUUAGAUACCCCCGUAGUCC
This 390-nucleotide ribosomal RNA is filed under the name uncultured archaeon. RNAcentral describes it as "bacterial SSU rRNA". It matches the Rfam family "Archaeal small subunit ribosomal RNA", at positions 355 to 747 of the family's 1478-position model. The record is from RNAcentral.